GAUCCUGCCGGACCCUACUGCUAUCGGGAUGGGACUAAGACAUGUUUGUCGUGCGUCUCUUAGCCAUGAUAGAGACGCGGCGCACGGCUCAGUAACAUGUGGCCAACCUACCCUUAGGACAGAGAUAUCCCCGGGAAACUGGGGCCAAUCUUUGAUAGGCGUGGGCUCCUGGAAUGGACCUACACUGAAAAGGCGUCUGGAUCAUGCUUCAGACGUUGCCUAAGGAUGAGGCCGCAACCGAUCAGGUUGUUGGCGAGGUAACGGCUCACCAAGCCUAUAACCGGUACGGGCCGCGGGAGCGGUAGCCCGGAGAUGGACACUGAGACAAGGGUCCAGGCCCUACGGGGCGCAGCAGUUACGAAAACUCCGCAAUGCACGAAAGUGUGACGGGGCUAUCCCGAGUGCCGUCCGCUGAGGAUGGCUUUUCUCCAGUUUAAGGAGCUGGAGGAAUAAGGAGAGGGCAAGUCUGGUGUCAGCCGCCGCGGUAAUACCAGCUCUCCGAGUGGUAGGGACGAUUAUUGGGCUUAAAGCGUCCGUAGCCGGCCCAGCAAGUCCUCCGUUAAAUCCAGCGAUUCAAUCGUUGGACUGCGGGGGAUACUGUUGGGCUAGGGGACGAGAGAGGCCGACGGUAUUCUCGGAGUAGGGGUGAAAUCCUAUAAUUCCGGGAGGACCACCAGUGGCGAAGGCUGUCGGCUAGAACGAGCUCGACGGUGAGGGACGGAAGCUGGGGGAGCGCACCGGAUUAGAUACCCGGGUAGUCCCAGCUGUAAACGAUGCGGGCUAGGUGUUAGGGUGGCUACGUGCCACUCUAGUGCCGCAGCGAAGGCAUUAAGCCCGCCGCCUGGGGAGUACGGCCGCAAGGCUGAAACUUAAAGGAAUUGGCGGGGGAGCACCACAAGGCGUGAAGCGUGCGGUUUAAUUGGAGUCAACGCCGGG
Molecule: ribosomal RNA, 936 nt
Filed under: uncultured archaeon
Lineage: Archaea
Description: bacterial SSU rRNA
Rfam family: Archaeal small subunit ribosomal RNA
Source: RNAcentral